GGCCGCUGUCGUGGUGAUGGGGGCAGGCUCAGACCGCCUGCGCCACCCAGGCCCCGCCGCCCGCGUAAACAAAACGGAGGGUUUUGUUUACGGAGCACUCGCGGCGCCGGAGGCGGCGAGACCGCGAGUACUCCUACCCUGUCCGAACAACAGCCUGUGUUCCUUCCAAGCCUGCACCUCCAGCAUUCAACAAUGACAAAAUGUGGUAAAAAAUGCAGAAAACAACAUCCCUUCUCUCUCAAAAAAGAAAAAUUUAAAAGGCCUUAAAGGCGGAGGUGGCGAGGCAGCGACUGCUCGUACACUGACGGAGCAACCGGCUGUGCUCCCUCCAGCCCUGCACCUCAAGCACGCGACAAAGCCAAAAUAUGAGGUCCAGUUUAGUUUGUCAAGCAUUCAUUGCGUUUUUCACUACAUGAUGCAGUAAAAGAUGUCUACAGGAGUUUAAAAGUUACUCAGUCAAACCAGAGCCACAUUAUCAUAUUGAAAAUAUAUCUACUUUUUGCAAGAGUGGAGGAAAAUUCCUGGCUGGCAGCUGUGUUCCUGAUAUGAAGCCAAGCACUUAC
Long non-coding RNA from Vidua chalybeata, 563 nucleotides. RefSeq lists it as uncharacterized. The record is from RefSeq and is a predicted model, not a curated record. The transcript has 3 exons. Lineage: Eukaryota; Metazoa; Chordata; Aves; Passeriformes; Viduidae.